Molecule: long non-coding RNA, 207 nt
Filed under: Spirodela polyrhiza (greater duckweed)
Lineage: Eukaryota; Viridiplantae; Streptophyta; Magnoliopsida; Alismatales; Araceae
Description: long non-coding RNA (SPOL_LNC000292)
Source: RNAcentral
GUGGCGUAGCCUUCCCCAGUACCUCCUCCUCCCGGAAGAGCGAAAUAUUGCGAAGCCUCCCAGCGGCCUCCGCAAAUCGCGCUUAUAAAUCCCCUGCACCGUCGUUCCCUCUCCAUUGCAUCAGAGUUCUCGUUCCAAACCCGGGCUUCUUUCCCAGAGAUAGAGAGAGAGAGAGAGAGAGAGAGAGAGAGAGAGAGAGAGAGAGAC